RNAcentral lists this ribosomal RNA (1122 nucleotides) under Phenacoccus manihoti (cassava mealybug). Its description in RNAcentral is "16S ribosomal RNA". Lineage: Eukaryota; Metazoa; Arthropoda; Insecta; Hemiptera; Pseudococcidae. The record is from RNAcentral.
UAAUUUUUUAUUUGUGGAUAAUAUAUACAAAUUAAAUUAUUAUUUAAAUUCUUAAUAAUUUUUAAAUUUUAGUAGAAAUAUAUUUUAUAUUAUUAAUUUUAAAAUUUUAUUAAUUAAAAAUAUUCAAAAUAUAAAAAUUUAAUUUAAUAAUUUAAUUUAAUGUAAAAUUAUUAUUUAAAAUAUUUAUUUAGUAAAGAAAUUUUAGUCAAUUUAUAUUAAUUAAUUUUAUAUUAAUUAAAUAGUUAAAAUUAUAGUUUAAUUUUUGUAAAAAAAAAUAUUAAAUUAAAGUUUUAAUUAUAAAGUUAAUUUUAUAAUUAAAAUAAAAUUUAAUUAUUAAAAAAAAAUAAUUUUAAAUAUUAUUAUAUAAUUAAAAAUUUUAAUUUAAAUUUUUUUAUAAUUAAUUAUUUAUAAAAAAAUUAUUUUAAAAAUAAUUUAUUUUAAAUAAUAUAAUAUUUUUAUUAAUUAUUUCUAUAAAAAAAUAAUAUUUAAAUGAGUAUCAUUAAAUUAUAAAUAAUUAAAAAAAUGAAUUUAUGAAUUCGGCAAAAUUAUUUUUAUUUGUUUAUUAAAAACAUAAUUUAAAGAUAAAUUAUUUGAUUUUAGAUAUAUUCUGCUCAAUGAUUUAUUAAUUAAAUAGCUGUUUUAAAAUACUAAGGUAGCAAAAUAAUUUGUAUUUUAAUUGAAUAAUAGAAUGAAUGAAUAAAUAAAAAAUAAUCUUUAUUUUAAUUAUAUAUUUAAAUUUAUUUUUAAUUUAAAAAGAUUAAUUAUUUUUAAAAGACAAAAAGACCUUAAAAAUUUAAUAAAAUUUUAAUUUAUUUAUUUGGGGUAAUUUAAUAAUUUAAUAGAAUAAUUUAUUUAAAAAUAAAAAAUUUAAAUUAAUUUUAGAAAAUUUAAAAUUACUUUAGGGAUAACAGGAUAAUUAAAAUUAAUAGAUUAAAUUAAAAUUUUAGAUUAUUACCUCGAUGUUGAAUUAAAAAAUUAGUUUAAAAUAGAAAUUAAAUAAAAAAGUUUGUUCAACUUUUAAAUUUUUACAUGAUUUGAGUUUAGACCGAUGUAAAUUAGGUUGGAUUUUAUCUUUAUAAUUUAGAGAAAUUAAUUUAGUACGAAAGGAUUUAAAAUUAAUUU